This 28284-nucleotide long non-coding RNA is filed under the name Phaseolus vulgaris (common bean). Its description in RNAcentral is "long non-coding RNA (PVUL_LNC003299)". Lineage: Eukaryota; Viridiplantae; Streptophyta; Magnoliopsida; Fabales; Fabaceae. The record is from RNAcentral.
CACAAUGAGUGACAAAACAUGCUAUGGCAGGGUGGCUUAAAACCUUUUGUUGAGGAGCCCAAUUCACUAUCUUACCCUUAUGCCCUUGGAAUUCAUGAGGGUAUGCCAUUUUAUUGUCUUCUCUUAUAACCCAAAGAAAAGGUCUAUUAGUGAGAUCUAGUCCAACGGCAAGUUCAUUGAAUUGGUUUUGGUCAAAAAGAGUGAUACUACCAAAGGCAACAUACAACACAGAACCAUCAGCUUGUUCAUCUAGCCAACUCAUGCAAGAGAGAUCUUCUUUCCAGAAUUGUCCCAUUGAUUUUGUAGCUGCACUUUUGUUAUGAUCAUUAUCAUUGCUUCUCAACAAUGGCCCAAUUGGGAUGAUCUUGGGAAGAAAUAAUAAUGUUCCAGGUUCAAGUUCAUGUGUGGUGUUGCAAAGCCACCACUGUGUCAAAUGUAAACUUCGUAAGCAAUGCAGCAGAUACUUACGCACUUUCUUACCAGUUGUUAGGUCACCGAUAUUCAACCAAAAAAAGUCUUCUGUAUCCAUCUCAGGCAUACUUGGAGAAAUCCGAAUUCUCUUUUUGGUGGUUGAUGUUAAACCUUCAGUGAAAAACCAACAAAAGAACAUUAGCUUAUACAACGUAUAAAUUAAAUUAUAAAUUAUGUUCAAACUUAACAAUACCUAAAUCAGAGUCUAUAACUCCCUCAUCAAUAAGCACAGGGAUGCUGUACACCAAGGUGAAAGUAGCUGCUGAUGCAGGACCCAACACAGCUCCUUGGAUUCCCAGUUUACUCCCAACAUCCAAAGCCCAAGCCAUGCACAAAUCAGCAACAAUGAAGUUGAUUCUCUUCUCACCUUUCACAUGAAUAUCCUCUAUCAACUUCUCAAGUGCUUCUGGCAUGGUUUUUGGAAAGACAUCAUACAGCUUGGCCAGAUCGUUUCUGUCAUCAUCAGGUCCUAAACCAUCAGGGAUUGAAACCAACUUCAGAAGUGAUUCUUCUUCAUCAGGGCUAGAACUAUCUUGUUGCUCCACCAUGGAACUCACCACUCUCCUGUGGUUAAAGUCUGUGUUCACAAAAAUGACUUUGCAUCCAUUCUCAAUCAGCUUCUGUGAGAAGGUCAUCAUGGGAUUCACAUGCCCUUGUGCUGGAAGUGGUAAAGCUAGCACAGUUGGAGCUCUCAUGUUCAGUGUUUCUAUUUGGUUUCUAUUGAUUUUGAUUUCUGAGGCUAAUUAUGCAUUCAUCAGUUCAUGUAUAUAGGCACAACCCCUCACACGUAUUUACCAAGCAAUUACAAAUCUAGAUCAUGAUCACUCUAAAUUUUCUGCUAUCACAAAUUUCUUGUAAGCAGAAAUGUAGAAAGUUUGUGUGGUCACAUCAAUAAUUUUGUCAUUCUAUACCUCUUUACUUUUCCUUGUACUUCUCUGAUUGGACUUCAGUGUUUUUGUCAUUAAACUUUUGCUUUUUUACUUUAUUAAUUGAUUCAGCAUUAUGCUGUUAUUUCAUUACGAGAAUUAUUAAUUACAGUAAGAAAUAUCUCUUUUAAUUUGAAUCAAUUUGAAAGGAAAGGUAAUAAAUGAAAAUUUCCAAAUAAUAAACUACAUUUUCUAAGGUUGAGGUACAAAUAUAAAGGUUAAAAAUGGAAAUAUACAAUUUUCUUUCAUUACCAGAAAUAUUGCAUAUAGUGUGGACCUAAGACUAGGACAUAAAGAGGUAAACACUGAUCCUACAUAGUUGUUAGUGUCGGCAACAUAGUUGUUAGUGUCGGCAACUGUCUUAUUAAAAAUAAAAACACUACAAGAAAAUCAUAAAAUAAAAAUCAAUUUUUAGAGAUCAAAAUAAUUACUUACAAUAGGAACUAAAAUAGAGACCAUUUUAGAAACUAAAAAAAAAUUGAUUUCUAAAUUAGUUUCUAUUAUUUUCUAUUAUUGUUAAAUAGUUGUAUCUAAUUAGCAACUAAAGUUUUAACUACCAAUUAUUUAGUUUCUAAAUUUGGUCUCUAAAACUUUGGUUGCUAAUUAGAUACCAAUUUAGAAACUAUUUAACAAUAAUAUAAACUAAUUUAGAAACUAAAUUUCUUUUUAAUUUCUAAAAUGGUCUCUAAUUUAGUUAUUAUUGCAACUAAUUAUUUUGGUUUCUACAAAUUGGUUUCUAUUUAAUGAUUUUAUUCAAGUGAAACUAAUAUAAAAUAAAAACUGAUGCAGAUUGAAUCAGCUAAAUCAAUGCAAGUUUACGUUGUGUAUAUUAAUUAAAAAUUAAAAUGAAUUAGACGGACACAAAUUAAACUGGAUAAAAAUAGAUUUAAUUUUAGUAUCGUUUUAGCAGAUGUAUUUUUUAGAAAUAAAAAUAAUAUUACGUAGAAAAUUAUUAAAUAUAAAAUAAUUUUAAAAAAAUUAGUUACUAUAGUAAUUAAAUUAGAGAUUAUUUUAAAAAUUAAAAAAAUUAUUAGUUUUUAAAUUAGUUUUUAAUAUUGAUAAAUAAUUUUUAAAUUAAUAUCUAAUUAGUUAUUAAGGUUUUAACUAUUAAUUAUUUAGAUUCUAAAUUUGAAACCUCGAUGAUUAAUUAAAUACCAAUUAAAAAAUUUAUUUAUUAAUAAUAGAAAAUAAUUUAAAAACUAAUAAUUUUUGUUUUUAAUUUUAUUACUAUAACAACUAAUUAUAUUUUAUUUUUAAAAUUGAUUACUAUUUAGUGAUUUUUUUUUACGGUAAAUAAUAUAUAAGUUAGUGUGUUAUUGGUCGAUGGAAUAUUAGACGCUGGCUGGUAUAUGUAAUUUGGAGUCUAUUUGGAAAUGAAAUUUGAACUUGUUUUCUCAAAUUAAUGCCAGAUUAUAUUUGAACUAAAUUUUAAUUAAUUCAAAUUUAAUUUGAGUGAAUAUAAUACUUGUGAUUAAUUAUAAUAAAGAAAUAAAUUUACAAUAAUACUAAAUUAUUUUAAGAAUUAUAUUAAACAUAGUUGCAACUAAUUUAAAGUUAUAGUCCAAAUUCUAAAUUGAAAUAAAUAUUAAAAUUAAACUAUAACAUGUGCUCUUGUUAUUGGAAUCCAAAUCAUAAUUGAAAUUGGACUAUAAUGUAUAUGUCUUGUAAUCCUAAAUAAAGUAGAAUGAAAAUUUAAGGAUAGUUAUAACAAUUCUCAUGCAGACAUAUGAGUUUUAACAAAGAAAUCAGAUUUGAUACUUCCAUCGCAUCGUUAGAAUUCAAAGAAAUAAUAAAGAAUGUAAUGUAUAAGUGCGUUUGUCUUUAUUGGAAUGGAGAGGAUUCCCACCAAUGCCAAAAGGGCAUUUGUUUUGAUGGGAAUGAAUAUGAUUUUCUCCAAUUAUAGGAGGACAUUUGUCAACCUCUAAUUUGAGAUGAUUUGCUCUAAUUAGAGAGAGUCACAUGUCCUUCUAUGACGGGAGAGUUUUUAGGAUUAAAACUUACACUUUGGUUGCACAUAACACUAUAAAUACAAUAGCUAGCCCUCUUGUAAAGGAGUUUUGAAUAGAUUAUUGAAUUGCUGCCAAAUUUCAGCCCCAACUAGUCUCUUAGCUCACUCCUCGCUAGCCUUAUUUGUAAGUGGUUAGCAUAGAAGUUCUUAGGAGUUGGUCUAACUUCUCUUAAGCUUCAUUAUUAUUCUCUAUACACCAAUAUUUCAGAGGUUCUUUCACUCAUUUUAGUCACCAAAUUUCACAUCUCAAAAGAUAUAAAACAAAAGAAACAAAGUCAUAUGCAAGCUAGGAUUGCAUCACCUAGUACCCAAGUGGUUAGAUCUAUGGCCACAAAGUAAGCAAUAUGUGCUUGAUAGAAUAUUCUCUUGUGAAUUAGGGUUUAAGCUGUUUAGGUAUUUGGAUGUAUGACACACAGACAGUGGGUUUAGGAACUAGUAAAAAAAGGUUGUCUGAAGAGGAUAAAUAUGUGGAAAUGAAAUAUAAAAGAAAAGCUAAAAUCUCUAAACAAAACAAGUGUGUGGAACAAAAGAUGUGUUUCGGCAAAUGCUAAGAAAAAUGGAAGAGUGUGUCCUAAAAAUUAGUGAGUUGGACAUAAAGGGAUGAACACUAAAGUUCAUAUGAAGCUUGUAGAACAGAAAGAAAAAUAUAUAUUUGCAUCUAACAUCAUAUCUUUCGAAUAAAGAGUGACUCUAGAGUAAGAAAAAUUGAACAAUAUAAGACAAUAUGAAUUUUUUUCAAGGACGAAAAUAUAAAAAAAAGACUCUAAUCGAUGACUUAGUUUAACAUAUAUAGUUGUCAUUUACAACUACUAUGGAUAAAGAGCAAUUAGAAGAUUACAAUAUUUACAAAGAUAAUAUUAUUAAAAUAUAAACCGAAAUUCACAUAAUUAAGAACAAGUUUAAAUUUAAAAAAUCUUUAAUUUUGAUAAUAACCAAUAAUAUUAUAUUUUAAUUAAAAGAUAAAAUUCGACGGUGUGUCUCAGCUCACCAAAUUUUAUCACAAUUGAAAAGCUCAUUGGUGACCUUUUACCCUUUAAUAUCGACCACCUACUUUACUUUUUUUGUUGGAUCAAUCAAUUAUUAGGAUAUUAAUAAUUGGAUUACUGGUAAAUAUUUAGACCACAAAGAUUUAUAUAAUUUUUUAUUUUCUCCAAGAUAGAGCCUUGUUUCUUGCCGUGUCAUAUAUGUGUCCCUUGUUACCAAGGGAUGGUUUUGCUAUUUUUGGAUGCUUUGAAGCCUUUAAAAAGACCUUUUCAACCAAACAAAAAUAGCCACAGAAUUACAUAGAGAAAAAAUGUUUGCUGAAGUAUUUAUAGAAAGAAAAUCAUUAGAUAAAAAAUAAAAAAUAGCUACGGAAUUACAGAAAAAAAAAAUAUUUACCGAAAUAUUUAUGCAAGACAAAAAAAUCAUUAAAAAAUAAUUUUAAAGAUAAAAAAUAGUUAAUUUAUUAUAUUAAUUAAAUUAUAUACUAUUUUAGAUAUUAAAAAAAAUUAUUGAUAUUUAAAAUAGUUUCAAUUAUUAAUAAAUAGUUUUUAUUAUUGAUAAAUAGUUCCAAAAUAUCACUAAAAAAAAUAUGAAAUAGAAAUCAAUUUUUAAAAAUCAAAAUAAUUAGUUACAAUAGUAACUAAAUUAGAGACCAUUUUAGAAACUAAACAAAAAUUUGAUUUUUAAAUUAGUUUCUAUUAUUGUUAAAUAGUUUCUAAAUUGGUAUCUAAUUAGCAAGGUUUUAACUACCAAUUAUUUAGUUUUUAAAUUUGAUCUCUAAAACAUUGGUUGCUAAUUAGAUACCAAUUUAGAAACUAUUUAAUAAUAAUAAAAAUUAAUUUAAAAACUAUUUUUUGUUAGUUUAUAAAAUAGUCUCUAAUUUAGUUACUAUUACAACUAAUUAUUUUGGUUUCUAAAAAUUGGUUUCUAUUUCAUGAUUUACUUGUAGUGUAUUUAAUUAUACUAUAAGAAAAUCACAACCAAAUUUAGGAACAAAAUAAUUAAUCACUAUAUUAACUAAAUUAGAUACUAUUUUAAAGACUAAAAAAUUAUUAAUAUCUAAAAUGAUUUUUAUUAUUAAUAAAAAAUUAUAAAAUAAUUUUUAAAUUGUUAUCUAAAUUAGCUACCAAAAUUUUAUCUACUAAUAUUUAAUAAAUAUGAAUUAUUGAAAUGAAGCAACAUCAAGUUAAUUAUCAUUUCAAUGCAUGGUACCACUUUAUGUAAAAUGAUUUCAUCUUGCUCGUUAAUUGUAUCAAUCAAACAACUUAAUUCAACAGUUGAAUCCAACACUUAAAUGCAAAAUGAAUCAAAUUCAAGUUGGCAACUAAAGUCACUUGUUGAACUCAAAAAAGUUUCAGAAUUAUAUAAGAGUGCCAACUAAGGACAUCUUCCAUGCAACAAAGAAAUUUAAACACUGAUUGCAAACCAUAAAUGCUAAAACUAAAUUAAUGAAAUUGCAACACAAAUUUUCACUUAAUAAUAUUUUCCAAAUUGAAUAUAUAGUUCCUUAAAUUAUUUAAAACAAAUUUACAGAACAUCAAUACCAAUACUUCUCUAGAAAACACCAAACACCAGUUACCGUAGGGUUGUAAUUUUUAUAAAUCACAAAUUUACUGCACCAUGAAACCAGAUCCAUAACAAUUUAUGUAAUGUAAACAAUUAUUUUAACUUUGUCCUCAAGUCAAAUCAAACAGUAAUUUCUAUCAAGCACAUAAACACCAAGAACUUCAAUUCUAAACCAUCAAAGAUCAAAACUGGAAAUUUUAUACUUCACCACAGAGUUUGACAAUAAGACUGGACUGAAUUGACAGAGUUUGACAAUAAGACUGGACUGAAUUGUGAGAUGACGUACACCAACAACUACCAGAAUGUUCAAUGGCUUAAACCAUUCAUAGAGUAAAUUGGAUAGAAACAAUAAUUGUUACUCACCACGAAACAAUUCAAUUUCCAAUUAAACAGGGAAUGUAAUCAAAAUUAUGUAUAAUUUAUGCUCUACACACGCAAAAGUUCUAGCAAUCACCAACUCAAAAGAGUAAAAUUGUGCCACUUUAAAUUACUGUUUCGAAAAUUCAAUGACACAAGAAAAAUAUUGCACUGACUUCAAUUACAAUAAUAAAGCAUUUAUACCAACACGUUAUUUGCACUUUAACCAACACGCAAAUGUUUGAAUUAUCAAUGCUUCAACGAGUCAACACAAAAGUAAUUUGAUCAAUGACACACAAAAAAAUCACUAAUGUCCCCAUUCAAUUUAGUGGAAAUGCUCGUGCAUAUUACAUUCAUAUCAACAAAAAGAGUGAAGAGAAAUUACAAUUUCCAAAUUAACACUACAAGAAAAUCAUAAAAUAGAAAUCAAUCUUCAGAUACCAGAAUAAUUAGUUGCAAUAGUAACUAAAUUAGAGAUUAUUUUAAAAAUUAAACAAAAAAUUGGUUUCUAAAUUAGUUUCUAUUAUUUUCUAUUAUUGUUAAAUAGUUUUUAAAUUGAUAUCUAAUUAGCAACCAAAGUUUUUUAGACCAAAUUUAGAAACUAAAUACUUGGUAGUUAAAACCUUGAUUUAGUGUAACCUCAAGGAAGAAGCGUGUAAAAUAGAGUUACAAGUGAAGAAUGGUGAAGAGUGAAUGUCACCAUGCGCAGGAGUUUAUAAAAGAAAAAUAUUAAAAUACUUUACUGUGAUUUUAUGAAAAAACCACGGACACUUACCAAAGGUUUAAAAAAAAUGUGUACUAUGUGUAUGUCUUAAUAGAAAUUAUAGUAACAUUAAGUAAUAAACCUCUCCUAAAAUUAUAAAUUUUUGUAAUGCCUAAACUAGCAUAUUUGUUGAAGAUGACCAAAUAAGAAAACUAGGAGUUGGAAAGGAAGUGAAAGUUCCAUUAAUUAUACUCAUUUUGGAAAUAAAAUUUAAUACUCAUUAUGUUUCAAUUCUAUUUCUAUAUGAUAUAACUAUAUCUAUUUAAAUAUGUAUUAAAUAACUUUUAAAAAAAAGUAAACUUAAAUCAAAAUGAUAUUAUUUAGAAUUCAAUUUAAAAUGUAUUUCUUUAAUAUCAAAUAACAGUUAUUAUGAAGUGGGUUUGCACCCUCUCAUACCAUAUUACGAAGUGGACUUUAAGUCUAACUCAAAGCCAUAAAACCGGCUCAAUGGGGUGAGGUUUGCACCCACUUAUAUACUAUGAAAGGCUCUAAUCUCUAAUCGAUGUGGGAUUGCACCCACUUAUAUACUAUGAAAGGCUCUAAUAUCUAGUCGAUGUGGGAUCUCCAACAACAGUGAAAAAAUUAUAAUAAUAUAAUAUUCAAAAUAAAGUACUAAAUAAAAUAAAAUUAAUUUUAGAAUUUAAAAUAGAAGGUGUAUAGGAAUGAGACGAAUAUCUAUUUAGAUAUCUUUAUCAUUUUAGUGAAACGACGGGAUUACAAUGGUAGAAAAAUACCCAAGGAUAUUUAUGGAUUGAAACUAAUAUGAAAACACAUGCUAGAAAAUGGAAUAACAAUAUAUGAGAGUUCAAGUGGAGGAAAAAUUGGUUUUGAAUGGGGAAGGCUAUGGUAGAAGCGUUUAAGACAGAUUUAACAAAAAUUAAGCCAAAUAAAAAUAUUGACAUAUGUAGAAAUUCUUUCGUAUAUUCUGAAAACAUAGGUACUAGUUGUAUAAAGUCUAAAUCCUUAGGACAAAACAAAGCCAAAAAAACAAGCAAAAGACUCUUCAAAUUGCAACAAAUAAAAAUUAUUGUACAAUAUUCCUUAUUCAUAAAUGCAUCAUGUCGAUCUAAGUGCAUUUGCAUUGUCUAAUAACAUAAUUAAUAACAUAAUAAAUUGGGUAUUACACACAUUUAUUUUGGCAAUUUUAGCUGCAUGGGUUAUGCAGAUUACUGCAUCCAUUAUUGAUUAUUGAGGAACUAUCAUGGUACAAAAAAAGACUAAUCCAAACCUAGAAUUAACAUUUAAGCACAAAAUCUGAGCUCUUAUUCCUUUAUGGCCUUCACAAAGCUCUUAAAGUUCUCAUAAGAUGUUCCUCCUUUUGCUAUGUUCUUCAUCACUUUCUCCUUCAACACCACACACCUACAUUUUAUGUUCUCAUCAUUAAAGAUCUGUUCCACUUUGGUUUUCAACUCUCCGCGUGACACAACUCCAUUUUCAUCUUUGUCAAUUCCCAACCCAACCUUUAACUCAUCACAAAUAUGUUCUUUGUUGUAAAGUUGGUCUCCAAAGUAUGGCCAACACAAGAAAGGUACCCCAAUGGACAAACCUUCCAUGGUAGAAUUCCAACCACAAUGAGUGAGAAAACAUGCUAUGGCAGGGUGGCUUAAAACCUUUUGUUGAGGAGCCCAAUUCACUAUCUUACCCUUAUGCCCUUGAAAUUCAUGAGGGUAUGCCAUUUUAUUGUCUUCUCUUAUAACCCAAAGAAAAGGUCUAUUGGUGAGGUCUAGUCCAAGGGCAAGUUCAUUGAAUUGGUUUUGGUCAAAAAGAGUGAAACUACCAAACGCAACAUACAGCACAGAACCAUGAGGUUGUUCAUCUAGCCAACUCAUGCAAGAGUCAUCUUCUUUCCAGAAUUGUCCCAUUGGUUUGGUGGUUGCACUUUUGUUAUUAUCAUUGUCAUUGCUUCUCAACAAUGGCCCAAUUGGGAUGAUCUUAGGAAGAAACAACAAUGUCCCAGGUUCAAGUUCAUGUGUGGUGUUGCAAAGCCACCACUGUGUCAAAUGUAAACUUCGUGCACAAUGCAGCAGAUACUGAAGCACUUUCUUACCAGUUAGGCCACCCAUAUUCAACCAAAAAAAGUCUUCUGGGUCCAUCUCAGGCAUACUUGGCGAAAUCCGAAUUCUCUUUUUCGUAGUUAUUGUUAAACCUUUAGUGAAAAACCAACAAAAAUAAAAAAAAGCUUAUGCAGUAUACUACAAAUUAAAUAAAAACUAAUAUUGAAGAUAAGAAAAAAAUUAUUCAAUUACCAAGAUACCAGAGACUUAAAAAAAAAUUAUAUUAUUAAUAUCUAAAUAAUUUUUAUUAUUAAAAAAAUUAUAAACUAAUUUCUAAAUUAGUGUAUAAUUAAUUAUUAAUGUUUUAGUUAUGUACUAUAUUUUAGUUAAUAAUUAAAUAAAUAUUAAUUUAUAAAUUAUAUUAAUAAUGUAAAUUAUUUUAAAUAUCAGUAAUUUUUUAAUCCUUGAAAUAAUAUUUAAUUUAGUUAAUAUAAUAGUUAAUUAUUUUUAUUUGUAAGAUUGAUUAUAUAAAUUAAAUUAAAUUAUAAAAUAAUUUCUAUAAAUUACUUUCUAAAUGAAUUAAUUUAACUAAUAAAAAAAUUUACGUCAUUAUUUUCUGUUUAGAAAUUCUUGUGAAAAGAAAUGUUCAAACAUAACUCUAACAUAAUAUUCUUACCUAAAUCAGAGUCUAUAAUUCCCUCAUCAAUAAGCAUAGGGAUGUUGUACAGCAAGGUGAAAAGAGUUGCUGAUGCAGGACACAACACAGCUCCUUUGAUUCCCAGUUUACUGCCAACAUCCAAAGCCCAAGCCAUGCACAAAUCAGCCACAAUGAAGUUGAUUCUGUUCUCACCUUUCACAUGAAUAUCCUCUAUCAGCUUCUCAAGUGCUUCUGGCAUGCUUUUUGGAAUGGCCUCACACAGCUUGGCCUGAUCGUUUCUGUCAUCAUCAGGUCCUAAACCAUCAGGGAUUGAAACCAACUUCAGAAGUGAUUCUUCUUCAUCAGGGCUAGAACUAUCUUGCUGCUUCACCAUGGAACUCACCACUCUCCUGUGGUUAAAUUCUGUGUUCACAAAAAUGACUUUGCAUCCAUUCUCAACCAACUUCUGUGCGAAGGUCAUCAUGGGAUUCACAUGCCCUUGUGCUGGAUAUGGUAAAGCUAGCACAGUUGGAGCUCCCAUGUUCAGUGUUUUUGUUUGGUUUCUAUUGAUUCUGAUUUCUGAGGCCAAUUAUGCAUUCAUCUGUUCAUGUAUAUAUAGGCACAGCCCCUCACAUUAAAAACGUUAAUCAAUGGCCUCACUAUAUCAUAAUCACGUAUAUACCUACCAAUUACAAAUCUAUGUCAUGAUCAGUCUAAAUUUUCGGCUAUCAUACUAACUUCUAUGAAUAAGAAAUGUAGAAUGUUUCUCUGUUCACAUCAGUAAUUUAUUCAUUCUAUAUCUUGUCACAUUUCCUCGCACUUUCUCUGAUUCGACUUUUCCUGUUUUUAUCAUUAAACUUUUGUUUUUCUACUUUGUUAAUUGAUUUAGCAUUAUGUUGUCAUUAAACUAAGAGAAUUGUAUAAUUAUUGUAAAAAAUAUCUUUUUUAAUUUGGAUGUAUUUGAAAGGGAAAGGUAAAAAAUGAAAAUUUGGAUGUGAACACAAACGUUCUACAUAGAAACUUUCUACACAGAAACUUUCCACAUUUCUAAAAUUUGACAAGUACAUAUAAACACUAAAAGUGGAAAUAUAGCAUUUUUUGGGUUCCAAGAUUCCUCUGAUAAAAUAUUCUGUUUUUUUUUUUUUUGUCUCUAAUCAGUUUUAAUUCAUAGGCCAAUUAGCUUUUUUUUUUCACCCAUGUAUGUAUAUAAGACACAAUUUUACUCUUUCUAAUUACUCAUUUUGAAUAAUAUUCUGCUUUUCAUACGAGCGUUUCUUCUCUUCUCUGUUCUUCUCCGCUUCUUUGUUUUUGUCAGAAUCAUCAAAGAUUUCUUUUUCUUUUUCUAUAAUUGUCAUUAAUAUUUUGUAAUAUGGUCUUAAAACUCUUCAUCGUGAAGGGCUCUGUUGUGCGCACUCUGAUUCCUUCUUCAUUCUUGAUAUUUCGUUCUUUCGCAAAUUUUUCAAUAUUUUUCUCUUUUUUUUUUUUACUAAUGAGUUUCUCUUUUGCAUUUUUGAAGUUGGUCUCAAUGAGUACAAAAAAUCCUGAUCGAAGCAAAAACCCUAACCCUAACCAGAAUAAAAAUCCCAUUCAAAGUGACAAUCUUGCUCACAACUUCUUAUACUUCACUCGAGUGAAAACCCUGCAACUCCUCUCGUAUCUAGUUCUUGAUUUGACAAAUUACCACUCUUGGAGUCGCUCAGAUACCACUAUGUUAAGUGCAAAUAACAAGGUAGAGUUUAUCAAAGAUGUGAUACCUCAGCCCUCUGAAUGGGAUCCCUUCUUCUCGUCCUGGAUGUGAUGCAAUGACAUGGUGGCGUCUUGGCUUGUGCAUUCGGUUUUUGUUCCCAUACGUAAAAGCAUCAUAUAGAUGGAUAAGGCACUAGAUGUCUGGAAUGACCUUAAAGCUCACUUCUCACAAUGUGAUAUGUCUUGCAUUUCUGACCUCCAAAUGGAGGCCUCUCCUAUCAAUCAUGGUGAUCUUUCUGUAACUAAUUAUUUCACCAAAAUUAGGGUUAUUUGGGAUGAAUUAGAUAAUUUUAGACUUGAUCAUGUAUGCACCUGUAAUGGUUUUUCUGUUAUUGUCCAAAGAAAAAGAGAGGAUCAAGCCAUGUAGUUUUUACAUGGCCUCAAUGGUCAAUACAAUAACGUAAAGGCCCAUGUUCUUCUCAUGGAGCAUGUCCUUGCUAUUACUAAGAUUUUUUCUAUGGUUGUUAAACAAGAGCGUCAAUUUAAUAAUAGUUUAGUUGCUCAUAUAAGAAAUAAUAAUUAUGUUAUUCAUACCAAUGUCAAUUCUGUUACUUUUUUAGAAAACUGGGUCACAAUGUAUCUUUUAAGAAAAAUGGUUAUCCUAACCAAGAUUGUAAGGGAUCAAGAUCUGGCAGUAAUAACAGAAAGGUUUGUACCUACUAUAAUAAGAAUGGGCACACUGUAGAUGUCUGCUAUAAGAAAAAUGGAUACCCCCCAGGUAUAGAUUUCAAUAUGGUAAUUUUUCUCAUGCCAACGAUGUUGUUGCUCAAGAAGACAUUGUUGGUGGUCAAGAUCAGAAUAAAAAUAAUGGUAGUGGUGACUUUCGAAUCACCCAAAGUCAGUUUCAAAUCCUUUCGAAUAUUUUGAAGAAUGUAAAUGUCUCAAAUAGUCAAGCUCAAGUGAACCAGGUUGGUUCCAUUUCUGUUGAUCCUCAAGAUCAAAAUUCAGUUGUGACAGGUAAUCUUUAUGGAUUUCAAAAUUUUAUCUUCAAUAAGCAUGCUUGGAUUCUAGAUUUUGGUGCAACAAAUCAUGUUUGUUUUGACCUAUCUAAUUUUGCAUCAUAUGAUGUUAUUAAAACCAUUAUUAUUAAACUUCCUAAUGGAAAUUUUGUUACUGAUUCCUACUUUGGUAUAAUAACUUUUAGUGAUAGAUUUGUUAUGAAAAAUGUCUUAUAUGUGCCAAAUUUUUCUUUUAAUUUGAUUUCCAUAUCUCAAUUUACUACAUCUCUUAAAUGUGAGCUUAGUUUCUCCUCUGCUGAGUGUUCAAUACAGAAUUCCAUAACCAAAGACAAGAUUGGUAUAGUUGAUGUUGUGGUUGAUUUAUAUGUCUUCAACAAAGCUGGCAAAAAUAUUCUAAGCAAUGUUACAAAACAAACGAAUAUUUGGCACCUCCAAAUGGAUCAUCCUUCAAAAGAAAGGUUAAAAGUUUUACAAACUUAUAUCCUAAUAUUCAUAUUGAUAAGGACUACAUUUGUGAUGUUUCUCAUCAAGCAAAACAAAGAAAACUUUAUUUUUCCCUUAAUGACACUAGAAUUGUUCAAUCUUUUGAAUCACUUCAUAUUGACAUUUGGGGUCCUUGUUCGGUUGUUUCAAUGCUUGGUCCUAAAUUUUUCCUUACUAUAGUACAUGAUUUACUAGGUAUACUUCGAUUUUUCCCACAUAAUAAGUCUGAAGUCAGGGUUAAUGUUACCAAUUUUAUAACUUGUGCUGAAAAUCAAUUUUCUACUAAAGUUAAAAUUAUUCAUACUGAUAAUGGCAUUGAUUUUUUCAUGCUUAAUUUCUUUGCAUCCAAAGGUAUUAUCCAUCAAACUACUUCUAUUGAAACAUCCGAGCAAAAUGGCAUUGUUAAAAGAAAACAUCAAUACCUUUUGAAUGUCACUCGCACUUUACUUUUUCAAUCUAGUCUCCCUGGUGUUUUUUGGUAUUUUGUUGUGCAACAUAUUGCAUUUCUUAUUAAUUGCAUUCCUACUCCGCUACUUAACAAUGUCACUCCCUAUGAAAAAUUAUACAAAAGUUGCGUGAUAUUUCUCGUUUACGUGUUUUUAGAUGUUUGUGCUACUUUUCUACCAUUCUUGCUCAUAGAAAAAAAACUUGACAAUCGUGUUGUUCCUGAUGUUUUCCUUGGUUUUAAACUUAAUACAAAAGGUUUCCUCUUCUUGAACCUUAAAAGUCAGAAAAUAGAUUUAUCUAUAAAUGUUAUUUUUCAUGAAAAUUGUUUUCCUUAUUACACCAAGUAUGUACAAAAUAAUGAUUUCAAUAGUCUCUCUUUAUGCCCAGACUUAUGAUGAUCUUAACAUGCAAUCUGAAAAUAAUGUUCAUGAUGUUUUACUUGAUAAUACUGUUGAAACUAAUGUUGAGAUUGAACAAAGUGAGAAUGUUACUGCUUCUUCUAGAAGAUCAACUCAUAGUAGAAGAAUGUCAGCUUAUUUACAAGACUUUGAGGUAUCUAAUAUCAGUAACAAUACGGUAAGUACUAAAUACCCAAUUAAUUCCCUUUUAAAUUACAAUUCUUUGUCUGAUAAUUUCAAAUAUACAAUCAUGUUGAUUUCAUCUACCGAGGAACCUCGAAAUUAUGAGGAAACUAUCAUGCACCCAUCCUGGGUCCAAGCAAUGAAGGAAGAACUUAAGGCACUCGAAGAUAACAAAACUUGAUCUGUAACCGAGCUUCCUCUAGGGAAAACUGCCAUUGAAUUUUGUUGGUUGUAUAAAGUUAAACACAAAGCAGAUGGCUCUAUUGAACGCUACAAAGCCCGUUUGGUAGCAUAGGGCUACACUUAAAUCGAAGGUCUUGAUUUUCUAGAUACUUUUGCUCCUAUAGCAAAGAUAACCACUUUUCAAUUGCUUCUUGCCUUGGCAGCAGCUCACAACUGGACAAUAAAGCAACUUGAUGUUAACAAUGUUUUUUUGCAUGCGAAAUUAGAUCAAGAAGUAUACAUGGUUCUACCUCCAGGACUUCACUUUUCAUCUACAAAUCUGGUUUGUCGCCUCAGAAAGUUGCUCUAUGGCCUCAAACAAGCAGGAAGGCAGUGGUAUGCUAAGCUUUCAAACUUUCUACUUUCUCAUAAAUAUAAUAUUUCCACUACUGACCAUUCUUUGUUUUGAAACAUGUUGGCAAUUACACCAGGGCAAUUCUGGUCUAUGUGGAUGACAUUAUCCUCACUAGGAACAACCCCAUGGAGAUAUCCAAUAUAAAAAUUCUGUUGAAUAAUUGUUCCCAUAUAAAAAAACCUUGGUGAUUUAACGUAUUUUCUGAGCAUUGAAGUAGCACGCAAUGCCACUAGCAUCCACUUAAGUCAAAGGAAGUACGUCUUGGAUUUACUCAAACACACUGGAAUGCUUGGUUGUGCUCUUGUGCCUACACCUAUGCUUCACACAUCAAUACUAUCAGCAACCAAAGGUGUUCCUCUUGAUGACAAGGAAGCCACUGCAUAUAGGCAUCUCAUUGGACGUCUUAUCUACCAAACAAAUACUCGGCCUGAUAUAGCUUUCUCAGUAAAUGACCUCAACCAGUUUGUCUCCAAACCUAUAAAUGAGCAUCACCAAGCAGUCAUGCGUGUUCUUUGAUAUCUAAAGAAUGCUCCUGGAACAUGUAUAUUUUUUUAUAGCCAAACUCCUAUUCAAUUAAAAGCCUAUACUGAUUCUGAUUGGGCAACUUGUCUCGAAACUAGAAAAUCUAUAACUGUCUUUUUUGUUAUUUGGGAGAAUCUUUAUUUCUUGGAAAUCCAAGAAACAACAAACUAUAUCAAGAAGUUCAUCUGAAACUGAGUAUCACGCUCUAGCUGCCACCACCUACGCAAUUCAGUGGAUCACAUAUCUAUUAGUUGAUCUUCACAUCAAGCAUCUGCAACCAACUUUGCUAUAUUGUGACAAUUAAGCUGCAAUUCAAAUUGUAAACAACCAAGUGUUCCACGAGAGGAUAAAAUAUAUCGAAAUCGACUGUCACGUGGUGAGGUAGAAACUCAACGCUGGACUUCUUAAACUUCUUCCAAUAUCAUCCUCUCUUCAAGCUACAUAUUUCUUCACCAAAACUUCUUCCUACAACCAGCUCAACAUUCUGCUUUCCAAACUACGAAUGAAAACCAUUUACUCCUAACUUGAGAGGGAUUGAUAAAAUAUUCUAUUUUUAAUUUUCUGUUGGGUCUGUAAUCAAUUUUUAUUCAUAGGGCAGUUAGUUUUUCUUUUUGCACCCUGUAUAUAAGACACAACUUUACUCUUUCUAAAUACUCUUUUAAAUAAUAUUCUGCUUCUCAAACGAGCGUUCCUUCUCUUCUCUUCUUUACUUCUUUCAGAAUCACCAAAGAUUUCUUUCCCUUUUCCUCCUGUAAUUGUCAUUGAUAUUUUGUAAUAUCCUCGUCUCUAAUCUGCUAAUAAGUUUCCAUAUUCUUGUAGCUAAUUGCAUUUCAGAAGGAAAAUACUAUUUCGUUACGAAAUGGUUUUCGUAUACGAAACACAGAUUGUUCUGAUAGCUUGUUUAUCAUUUUUUAUAAAAAAUAGAAUAGCCUAAAAUACUUCUUAUUCUUCUAUUUUUCGUCGAUAAAAAAAAAUGCUCAUUCGUAAGUUUUGCGUUUGUAUUUCUCAUCAGAAAGGCUAAUUUGUAAGAGCAUGAUUUAUAUAUUAUUUUAAUUUUUAAUUAAUAUUUACUUGUCAUUCACGUAAUAGUUCUCGUGUUUAUGAAUUUGCUCUUUCGGGUUUAGACUAACUAAAUAAUGUUGAAAUAGAAAGAUUCACUACAAGACAUAAUAUCGAAAAACCAAAAAAUAUAUUUACCUAGAUAUGUUCAAUAUAAGUAAAUUUUAAAAUUUAUAGCUAUAUAUGUUUCAUAUUGAUAAAACCUAUUAACAUUAAUACCUACAUCUACUUAAUAUAAGUAAGAUUUCAAUAAAAUAUUUAAGUAACAUUAUUUCAAUAAUAUUAUUAAAUAAAAUAAAUUUCUUAUUAUUUGAAAUUUUUUUAAACUUAUAUUACUUUAAAAUAUCUAUAUAAUUAUUAUGUUUUUCACUAUUUAUAUAUUAUUAAUAAAAAAAAUAAAAGUGUAAGUAUUUUAAAGGGAUAAUCAGAACAAGAAUAUUUUUUCUUAAAUAUUUGUUUUAGUGAAAUUUGGAUGGAUAAUUUUUAUCGUUUUAUUAUUUGAAAUUUAAACUAAAACUUACUAUAGAAAAUUAUAUUAAAUAGAAAUCAAUUUUAAAAAAAUUAGUUAAUUGUUAUAUUGAUUAAAUCGGAUAUUAUUUUAAAGACUAAAACAAUUAUUUAUAGUAUCUAAAUUAUUUAUACUAGUGGAAAUAUAGGUGCACUUGCGCCUUUGUAUCCACAUUUUUCUCUUUUAUUCAAUUUUUACGAUGAUAGAAAUGUAGCAUACAUAUAGAAAUAAUUUUGGAUGAUGAGUUGAAAUUGAAAAACAAAAAAUGGAGUGCAGAGAGUGAUUCAAAAUGGAGGUUAUUUCAUUUUAUAUGUUACAUUUUAAUGUGAAAAUGUGUGAGAGUAUGUUCUUUUUUUUUCGGUUGUUGCCUUAAAAUAAGGAACUAAGGAAAGAGUGGGGAAUCAUAUAAAAACAGUACAUUAAUAUUAAUUUAAAAAAUUAAAAAAUAAUUUGAUUUUUUAAGUAAUUCAUAUGAAAUGACAAAAUACUCCACUAUAUUAAUAAAAUGAGAUAUAUUAAAUUAGGGUAGAAUCGCAAAAAAUUUGUUUACACCAAAAAGCGGUUAUAUUGGGGAAUCCCCUGUAUAGAUUAUUGAUAAAUAGUUUCUAAUUGAUAUCUAAUUAGUUACCAAUUAUUUAUAUUCUAAAGUUGGUAACUAAUUAGAUAUUUAAAAAUUAUUUAUUGAAAAUAGAAACUAAUUUAGAUAAUUAUAAUUUUUUUAGUCUCUAAAAUAAUAUCUAAUUUAGUAAAUAUGAUUAUUAUUGACAAUUAUUAUAUUAAUUUAGUAAAUAUAACAACUAAUUAUUUUUUUCUUUAAGAUUAAUUUUUAUUAAUGAUUUCACUCUAAAACUGAUUUCACACCACACUGGAUUUUUUUCCUUAUUUUAUUUUUAAAAAAAAAGAUGAAUUUUUGGUUACUAUCAGUUUCUUUCUUUCUCUUGCUCUCUCUUAGGCUCUUUAAUGAGAGUUUGAAAUUUCUUAACUCCAUUUUUCCUAUAGAAUAUUUAGCACUUAUUUAUUAGCUUUGUUAAGAUUUGAAGUCAUCUCUUCUUUUUUGUGUUAAAUUAUUUUGUUUAUAUAUAUAUAUAUAUGGUGAAAAUUUGGUAUUAAAUGUUGUCAAAAGUGUAGAAAAAUGCUCUUGUUUAAUUUACGGAAUAUUUCUUUUUCUACCUCUCAAUCCAUCAAAACAAUGUUGGACUGAAGAGAAUAUUUAAGGAGAAUAUAGAAUAUGUGUGAUGUUUGGAAACUGUUUUCUUUCGGUAAAGAAUGAAUAAAUUAACAAAAUAUCCAUCAAAUUCCUUCUUUCGAGAAAAGUUGAUUGUCUAAAAUCAAUGACCUUAUUGAUCACCUUCUUGAGCCUUAUAGACAAAAUCUUGGAUAUAAUCUUAAAGAGACACCCCAGCAGCGAAAUAGGUCUAAAAUCACACAACUGUUGUGGAUUGUCGAAUUUAGGAAUUAGACAGAUAAAAGAAGUGUUUGACCCCUAGGUCAUUUUCUACUAUUUGCGGAGUCAUUCAAAGUCACGAGAAUAUCCUCCUUUAAACAAUCCCAACAGAAUUUAGGAAAACCAAAAUUAAAACCAUCUGACCCUGAACUUUUCGAACUGUCGCAACUCCAAACUACAUUCUUAACUUCCUCCUCUGAAAAGGCACCUACCAACAUCACGUUGUCAUCACUAUAAAUAGUGUUAAAACCUACAUUAUCCAACCUAACCUGCCGUCCAAGUUCCUCGUCAAAUAUGGUCUUGAAAAAGAUCUCUAACCUUAACUUUAACCACUUCCUUGUCUUCACACCAAAGACCAUUCUCAAAGACCCCGUUAAUCUCAUUUCUCGCUCUUCUCCACUUGACAGUGGAAUGAAAAAUCUUUGAGUUUAAAUCACCUUGUUUAAACCACUUUUGACGGGCUUUUUGAUACAACACAGCUUCUUGUUUAAAAGAGUUCCGACUUUGCUCUGCAAGCAAUAUUCUUCUUUCCUCCCUUCCGAAGUCGUCUCAUUCGUUUUCAUCAUCUCUUGCAUCCAAUUCUUGAAUUUUCUUAUACAAAUCUUCCCCUGCUUGAUUAACAUUCCCAAAGGCCUCUUUAUUCCAAAUUUGUAAAUCCGCUUUUAACAUUUUCCACUUUUCCUUUCAAACAAACAUCCCUCCACCAUGCACCUCAUAGAUAAGCCACUUAUUGCGUACAAAGACACUGAACCUACCAUCACUUUGCGAAACAUCUAAACUUCUAAACGGUUUCGGGCCCCAAUCCGCACUCAUAUCUUUUAACACAAGAACACAGUGAUCAGAGGCAGAUCCACUAUACACGUACUAUUUACUAUUUGGUCAACUAUCCAGUCAAUCCCUGAAAACAAAAAUAUUGUCUAUUGUGCUCUUAAUCGACCUGUUCGGUUUGUACCAAGUAAACUUUCUGCUAACCAUCGAAAUAUCCAACAACUUUAACUUUCCGAUAAAAUUGUUGAAACUACUUAUUUAUCUAGUGUAAUUAGACACAGAAAUCAAACUUUCUCUCCAACUUCCUUCUGAUAGAAUUAAAAUUCUCAACUACACACCAAGUCUUUUCUUCUUAUAGAAUUAAAAUCUCCAACUACACACCAAGCCCUAUGUACCCCUUUAUUUAUAUAUUCUUUUUACUAAUUAAAAAAAUAUUUUAGUAAAAUAAAAAUGUUAGAAAUUAUUUUCAAAAGUUCGAAUAAUACACACUAUUACAAGUUUACUUUAUGUUCAUGUUUUUUAUAGAAUAAGAAAUGAUCUAUUUUUAUAUUUCAAAAAUAUUUUAUGAAAUUGAAAUAAAUAUGAUUAGUAAAGAAAAUUUAUAUUAAAAUUAUAAAAUAUCUAUUUUUAUCAUAAUUUCUAUCAUAACCACACGUCUCCAAUUUUAUUAAAAAAUAUUUUGAAAUCAACAAUUUUGUCAAUUUUGUCAAUUUAUAAAUAUAAAAACAAAACAAAGAAUCAUUCCUAUUUAAAAUUAAUAACAUAAUGAAUUGGGUAUUGUACAUACACAUUUAUUUAUUGCCAAUUGUAACUGCAUGGGUUAUACAUAUUACUGCACCCAUUAUUGAGGGACUGUCAUGGUACAAAUAAAACCCUAUCCACACCUAGAAUUAACAAGCACAAAACUCUUAUUCCUUUAUCUCCUUCACAAAGUUCUUAAAGUUCUCAUAAGAUGUUCCUCCUUUUGCUAUGUUCUUCAUCACUUUCUCCUUCAACAUCACACACCUGUGUUUUAUGUUCUCGUCAUUAAAGAUCUGUUCCACUUUGGUUUUCAACUCUCCCCGUGACACAACUNNNNNNNNNNNNNNNNNNNNNNNNNNNNNNNNNNNNNNNNNNNNNNNNNNNNNNNNNNNNNNNNNNNNNNNNNNNNNNNNNNNNNNNNNNNNNNNNNNNNAAUGGCCUCACUAUAUCAUAAUCACGUAUAUACCUACCAAUUACAAAUCUAUGUCAUGAUCAGUCUAAAUUUUCGGCUAUCAUACUAACUUCUAUGAAUAAGAAAUGUAGAAUGUUUCUCUGUUCACAUCAGUAAUUUAUUCAUUCUAUAUCUUGUCACAUUUCCUCGCACUUUCUCUGAUUCGACUUUUCCUGUUUUUAUCAUUAAACUUUUGUUUUUUUACUUUAUUAAUUGAUUUAGCAUUAUGUUGUCAUUAAACUAAGAGAAUUGUAUAAUUAUUGUAAAAAAUAUCUUUUUUAAUUUGGAUGUAUUUGAAAGGGAAAGGUAAAAAAUGAAAAUUUGGAUGUGAACACAGAAACGUUCUACAUAGAAACUUUCUACACAGAAACUUUCCACAUUUCUAAAAUUUGACAAGUACAUAUAAACACUAAAAGUGGAAAUAUACCAUUUUUUGGGUUCCAAGAUUCCUCUUAUAAAAUAUUCUGUUUUUUUUUUUGGUCUGUAAUCAGUUUUUAUUCAUAGGCCGAUUAUCUUUUCUUUUUGCACCCCAUGUAUGUAUAUAAGACACAAUUUUACUCUUUCUAAUUACUCAUUUUGAAUAAUAUUCUGCUUUUCAUACGAGCGUUUCUUCUCUUCUCUGUUCUUCUCCGCUUCUUUGAUUCUAUCAGAAUCAUCAAAGAUUUCUUUUCCUUUUUCUAUAAUUGUCAUUGAUAUUUUGUAAUAUGGUAUUAAAGCUCUUCAUCGUGAAGGGUUCUGUUGUGCGCACUCUGAUUCCUUCUUCAUUCUUGAUAUUUUGUUCUUCCGCAAAUUUUUCAAUAUUUUUUUUUUUUUUUUUUGACUAAUGAGUUUCUCUUUUGCAUUUUUGAAGUUGGUCUCAAUGAGUACAAAAAAUCCUGAUCGAAGCAAAAACCCUAACCUUAACCAGAAUAAAAAUCCCAUUCAAAGUGACAAUCUCGCUCACAACUUCUUAUACUUCACUCGAGUAAAAACCCUGCAACUCCUCUCGUAUCUCUAGUUCUUGAUUUGAUAAAUUACCACUCUUGGAGUCGCUCAGAUAUCACUGUGUUAAGUGCAAAUAACAAGGUAGAGUUUAUCAAAGAUGUGAUACCUCAACCCUCUGAAUCGGAUCCCUUCUUCUCGUCCUGGAUGUGCUGCAAUGCCAUGGUGGCGUCUUGGCUUGUGCAUUUGGUUUUUGUUCCCAUACGUAAAAGCAUCAUAUGGAUGGAUAAGGCACUAGAUGUCUGGAAUGACCUUAAAGCUCGCUUCUCACAAUGUGAUAUGUCUCGCAUUUCUGACCUCCAAAUGGAGGCCUCUCCUAUCAAUCAUGGUGAUCUUUCUGUAACUAAUUAUUUCACCAAACUUAGGGUUAUUUGGGAUGAAUUAGAUAAUUUUAGACUUGAUCAUGUAUGCACCUGUAAUGGUUUUUCUGUUAUUGUACAAAGAAAAAGAGAGGAUCAAGCCAUGUAGUUUUUACAUGGCCUCAAUGGUCAAUACAAUAACGUAAAGGCCCAUGUUCUUCUCAUGGAGCAUGUCCUUGCUAUUACUAAGAUUUUUUCUAUGGUUGUUAAACAAAAGCGUCAAUUUAAUAAUAGUUUAGUUGCUCAUAUAAAAAAUAAUAAUUAUGUUAUUCAUACCAAUGUCAAUUUUGUUACUUCUUUGGAAAACUGGAUCAUAAUGAAACUGUAUCUUUUAAGAAAAAUGGUUAUCCUAACCAAGAUUGUAAGGGAUCAAGAUCUGGCAGUAAUAACAGAAAGGUUUGUACCUACUACAAUAAGAAUGGGCACACUGUAGAUGUCUGCUAUAAGAAACAUGGAUACCCCCAGGUAUAGAUUUUAAUAUGGUAAAUUUUCUCAUGCCAACGAUGUUGUUGCUCAAGAAGACAUUGUUGGUGGUCAAGAUCAGAAUAAAAAUAAUGGUAGUGGUGACUUCCGAAUCACCCAAAGUCAGUUUCAAAUCCUUUCGAAUAUUUUGAAGAAUGUAAAUGUCUCAAAUAGUCAAGCUCAAGUGAACCAGGUUGGUUCCAUUUCUGUUGAUCUCAAGAUCAAAAUUCAGCUGUGACAGGUAAUCUUUAUGGAUUUCGAAGUUUUAUCUUCAAUAAGCAUGCUUGGAUUCUAGAUUUUGGUGCAACAAAUCAUGUUUGUUUUGACCUAUCUAAUUUUUCAUCAUAUAAUGUUAUUAAAACCAUUAUUAUUAAACUUCCGAAUGGAAAUUUUGUUAUUGCUUCCUACUCUGGUAUAAUAACUUUUAAUGAUAGAUUUGUUUUGAAAAAUGUCUUAUAGGUGCCAAAUUUUUCUUUUAAUUUGAUUUCCAUAUCUCAAUUUACUACAUCUCUUAAAUGUGAGCUUAGUUUCUCCUCUGCUGAGUGUUCAAUACAGAAUUUCAUAACCAAAGACAAGAUUGGUAUAAUUGAUGUUGUGGUUGAUUUAUAUGUCUUCAACAAAGCUGGCAAAAAUAUUCUAAGCAGUGCUACAAAACAAAUGAAUAUUUGGCACUUCCGAAUGGAUCAUCCUUCAGAAGAAAGGUUAAAAGUUUUACAAACUUAUUAUCCUAAUAUUCAUAUUGAUAAGGACUACAUUUGUGAUGUUUCUCAUCAAGCAAAACAAAGAAAACUUUAUUUUUCCCUUAGUGACACUAGAAUUGUUCAGUCUUUUGAAUCACUUCAUAUUGACAUUUGGGGUCCUUGUUCGGUUGUUUCAAUGCUUGGUCAUAAAUUUUUCCUUACUAUAGUAGAUGAUUUUACUAGGUAUACUUCGAUUUUUCCCACAUAAUAAGUCUGAAGUCAGGGUUAAUGUUACCAAUUUUAUAACUUGUGUUGAAAAUCAAUUUUCUACUAAAGUUAAAAUUAUUCAUACUCAUAAUGGCAUUGAUUUUUUCAUGCAUGAUUUCUUUGCAUCCAAAGGUAUUAUCCAUCAAACUACUUCUUUUGAAACAUCAAAACCUUUUGAAUGUCACUCACACUUUACUUUUUCAAUCUAGUCUCCCUGCUGUUUUUUGUUAUUUUGUUGUGCAACAUAUUGCAUUUCUUAUUAAUUGCAUGCCUACUCCACUACUUAACAAUGUCACUCCCUAUGAAAACUUAUACAAAAGUUGCGUGAUAUUUCUCAUCUACGUGUUUUUAGAUGUUUGUGCUACUUUUCUACCAUUCUUGCUCAUAGAAAAAAAACAGGACAAUCGUGUUGUUUCAGAUGUUUUCCUUGGUUUUAAACAUAAUACAAAAGGUUUCCUCUUCUUGAACCUCAAAAGUCACAAAAUAGAUUUAUCUAUAAAUGUUAUUUUUCAUGAAAAUUCUUUUCCUUAUUACACCAAGUAUGUACAAAAUAAUGAUUCCAAUAGUCUCUCUUUAUGCCCAGACUUAUGAUGAUCUUAACAUGCAAUCUGAAAAUAAUGUUCAUGAUGUUUUACUUGAUAAUACUGUUGAAACUAAUGCUGAGAUUGAACAAAGUGAGAAUGUUACUGCUUCUUCUAGAAGAUCAACUCAUAGUAGAAGAAUGUCAGCUUAUUUACAAGACUUUGAGGUAUCUAAUAUCAGUAACAAUACGGUAAGUACUAAAUACCCAAUUAAUUCCCUUUUAAAUUACAAUUCUUUGUCUGAUAAUUUCAAAUAUACAAUCAUGUUGAUUUCAUCUACCGAGGAACCUCGAAAUUAUGAGGAAACUAUCAUGCACACAUCCUGGGUCCAAGCAAUGAAAGAAGAACUUAAGGCACUCGAAGAUAACAAAACUUGGUCUGUAACCGAGCUUCCUCUAGGAAAAACUGCCAUUGAAUUUCGUUGGGUGUAUAAAGUUAAACACAAAGCAGAUGACUCUAUUGAACGCUACAAAGCCCGUUUGGUAGCAAAUGGCUACACUCAAAUCGAAGGUCUUGAUACUUUUGCUCCUAUAGCAAAGUUAACCACUUUUCAAUUGCUUCUUGCCUUGGCAGCAGCUCACAACUGGACACUAAAGCAACUUGAUAUUAACAAUGUUUUUCUGCAUGCGAAAUUAGAUCAAGAAGUAUACAUGGUUUUGCCUCCAGGACUUCACUUUUCAUCUACAAAUCUGGUUUGUCACCUCAGAAAGUUGUUCUAUGACCUCAAACAAGCAGGAAGGCAGUGGUAUGCUAAGCUUUCAAACUUUCUCUUUUUUUUUCCGCUUGUUGUCUUAAAAUAAGGAACUAAGGAAAGAGUGAGAAAUCGUAUAAAAACUGUACAUUAAUAUUAAUUUAAAAAAUUAAAAAAUAAUUUUAUUUUUUAAGUAAUUCAUAUGAAAUGACAAAAUACUCCACUAUAUUAAUAAAAUGAGAUAUAUUAAAUAAGGGUAUAAUCGCAAAAAAUUUGUUUACACUAAAAGGCGGUUAUAAUGGGGAAUCCCCUCUAUAUAUAUAAGUAUAGAUUAUUGAUAAAUAGUUUCUAAAUUGAUAUCUAAUUAGUUAUCAAUUAUUUAGAUUCUAAAGUUGGUAACUAAUUAGAUAUCAAUUUAAAAAUCAUUUAUCGAAAAUAGAAACUAAUUUAGAUAACAAUAAUUUUUUUAGUCUCUAAAAUAAUAUUUAAUUUAGUAAAUAUGAUUAUUAUUGACAAUUAUUAUAUUAAUUUAAUAAAUAUAAAAACUAAUUAUUUUUUGUCUUUAAGAUUAAUUUUUAUUAAUGAUUUCACUCUAAAACUGAUUUCACACCACACUGGAUUUUUUUCCUUAUUUUUUUUAAAGAAAAUAUGAAUUUUAGGUUAUUAUCAGUCUCUUUCUUUCUCUUGCUCUCUCUUAGGCUCUUUAAUGAGAGUUUGAAAUUUCUUAACUCCAUUUUUCCUAUAGAAUAUUUAGCACUUAUUUAUUAGCUUUGUUAAGAUUUUAAGUCAUCUCUUCACUACAAAAAAAAUCACUUUUAGCGACCACCAAAUUCGGUCGCUAAAAGCACUAUAAUCGGUCGCUAAACAUAUUUGCGACCGAAACGGCUACCAAAUAAAAUUGGAAGCGAAAACCCUAGUCGCAAAGCAUCUAACGAUCGAAUUAUAAAGUGGUCGCAAAUUUGCAACUGAAAUAUCAGUGGCUAAAUCGGUUGCAGACAAUUUGGUCACCAAAAUCCAGGAACCAAAUUAGUGACCACCAUUUUCGGUGGCUAAAUCGGUCGCAAACAAUUUGGUCACCGAAAUUCAUAACCAAAUUAGCGACCACUAUUUUCGGUGGCUAAAUCAGUGGCUGAAAUGAAAGGUGAUAGCGACCACCAUUUUUGGUCGCUAAUGAUUAAAAUAUUUUUUUAAUUACAGCGACCAUCAUUUUCGGUCGCUAAUGAUUAAAAUAUUUUUUUUAAUUAUAGCGACCAAUUCUCUUUCGGUUGCUAAACAACAACUUUGUAGAUAUAACAUAACCACCAUAUCAAUUGGUGACUAUUUUUAUAUAUAUUAUUAAUACUUAUUAAAAAUGUAUUACUAUUUUUUUUUGAAUUUUAACUUUUAGUUCUUAAAGACAUUAGGUUAUUGAGUUUAAAAUUAUAUUUACAACUUAAACCUAUGAUUUUUACUCUACAUUAAUUUCAAUUAUCCAUAAAACUAGGGUUAAACUGAAAUGAUAUAGAUUAUUUUUUAAGAGAGACUGAGGUAGAAGAAUGUAGACAAAAAUAUUUAAAUAUAUACAUGAUCAUUAAUUAUUAAUUAAUUAGUAAACAGCUUUGAUGUUAAUGUUUGUAUGAAUAAAAUAUUCCUUUUAUUCCUUCAUUGUAACUCUCUUUAUUUUUUUAUUCUUUAGCUUUUUUUUUGUUAUGUUCUUGGUUAAUUUUUUAAAAAUUUGAAACAGUUUAUUUCGGCACAUUGAAAUAUUUGAAUUGUAACAUAUUUAAAAACUAAACUAACCAUUUUAUAUAUCUUGCUAGAAACAAAAUACAAAUCUCACUAAGCAUGCUCAUUUGUUUUCGGUGAAAUUUAUUAUAGUUUAAAAAANNNNNNNNNNNNNNNNNNNNNNNNNNNNNNNNNNNNNNNNNNNNNNNNNNNNNNNNNNNNNNNNNNNNNNNNNNNNNNNNNNNNNNNNNNNNNNNNNNNNNNNNNNNNNNNNNNNNNNNNNNNNNNNACUUAUGCAGUUAUUUUAUUUUCAACCAUUAAACUUAAUACAACAACGUAUUUUAUAUAUAUUAAUUAUCAAGUCAUUGAUUACUCUUUUAACAUAAUAUAAGUCAUUGAUUUACUUCACUUUAGAAAUAUAAAACUUUAAUAAAAAUAUUAAGUAAAGCAGAAAUUAAAGAAAUAAAACUUAAAACUGUACACUAUGCAUAUUCUUCAAUCUACUUCUCAAGUUUCUCAAAAUGAUGCAUGUAGCUGCACACCUAAUGAGUGAAUGAAACUAACCCUUCCUCAUUAUUUUAUUUAUAUAACUCAUCCACCUUUUCCACUUUUUGGCAAACAUUUGAUUCCAUCUAAAUAAAUAAUCAGUUAAAUAAGUAGGAAAGUAACCUCACCCGUCAGUUUUCCUAACCUUGUGUUCUGCAUAAUCUCUAUUUCCGAAUUCAUUCACGUUUAGUCAAAUUGAAUUUUAACUUUGAAAACAGAGACAUCAUGAGAGGCAAACCAACACCAGCUCAGCUUAUUCCCUAUCUAUCUACCAAACAUGAAAUAAAUUCCCCAAACCCAACAAUCUUAUAACCCAACAAAAUUAUACUAUGAGUAAGUUAAAUGUUAUAUUAAAUAUAGUUUUUAAAAUGAUAAUUAAAAAUCACUAACUAUGGAAUGUAAAAAAUGGUUAUUGUUAAAUUACCUGCUCAGGUGCACAUAUCCUCACCUAACAGUUUGUUCCAAUUAAUUUACACUUCCGAGUAUGAAUUGGAAGGAAUAGUAGUCAUCUAAAAUCCUUUUAUUUCUACUUUCCUGCCUUACAUUUGUGUAUUAAUCUAAUCCCCAAAAGGUUCCAAAAUGAGAAACUCUCUUGCAUUUUUUUUUUGCCUCAGAUCUUCUGUUUCAUAUUAUUCAGUUUUCAACAUCAAGUGCAAACAAAAUCCACCAUUGAAGCAUGCAAGGAGUUAGUUUCAAAUUGUCAGCUAAAAUCACCCGCUGGAUCCACACAUAAUUGUAUCAAGUUUCUGAACUUCCUAUACUAUUCAACAAAUCAAUUGAAUUGUCAAUUCCAGCAAGCAUUAUAGGAAAAUGAAAAGUGAAAACUGCACCAAAUAACUAAUGAUUUUCACACUAUAAUAAAAAAACAAACAAACACCAGUUGCUGCAGGUUUCUAAAACCUACAACAUUCAAGAAUGAACCAAUUCACCGAAUCAAAUACUAAAAUUUGCACCGAAAUUAGUGCUCUGUUUCAACAGCCCCAUGAUUGAAUCAAUUAUGCAACGAACCAGCACUCAGAUGCAAAUACACUAAUUACAAACAAGAUUAGAUGUGCACAAAUCCUUACUGCACCCAUUAUUGAGGGACUGUCAUGGUACAAAUAAAACCCUAUCCACACCUAGAAUUAACAAGCACAAAACUCUUAUUCCUUUAUCUCCUUCACAAAGUUCUUAAAGUUCUCAUAAGAUGUUCCUCCUUUUGCUAUGUUCUUCAUCACUUUCUCCUUCAACAUCACACACCUGUGUUUUAUGUUCUCGUCAUUAAAGAUCUGUUCCACUUUGGUUUUCAACUCUCCCCGUGACACAACUCCAUUUUGAUCUUUGUCAAUCCCCAACCCAACCUUUAACUCAUCACAAAUAUGUGUUUUGUUGUAAAGUUGGUCUCCGAAGUAUGGCCAACCCAAUAAAGGUACCCCACUGGACAAACCUUCCAUGGUAGAAUUCCAACCACAAUGAGUGAGAAAACAUGCUAUGGCAGGGUGACUUAAAACCUUUUGUUGAGGAGCCCAAUUCACUAUCUUACCCUUAUGCCCUUGGAAUUCAUGAGGGUAUGCCAUUUUAUUGUCUUCUCUUAUAACCCAAAGAAAAGGUCUAUUGGUGAGGUCUAGUCCAAGGGCAAGUUCGUUGAAUUGGUUUUGGUCAAAAAGAGUGAUACUACCAAAGGCAACAUACAACACAGAACCAUCAGCUUGUUCAUCUAGCCAACUCAUGCAGGACUGGUCUUCUUUCCAGAAUUGUCCCAUUGAUUUUGUAGCUGCACUUUUGUUAUCAUCAUUAUCAUUGCUUUUCAACAAUGGCCCAAUUGGGAUGAUCUUCGGAAGAAAUAAAAAUGUUCCUGGUUCAAGUUCGUGUGUGGUGUUGCAAAGCCACCACUGUGUCAAAUGUAAACUUGGUGCGUAAUGCAGCAGAUACUUAAGCAGUUUCUUACCAUUUACACCCAUAUUCAACCAAAAAAAGUCUUCUGGAUCCAUCUCAGGCAUACUUGUUGAAAUCCGAAUUCUCUUUUUCGUGGUUAAUGUUAA